GACGAACGCUGGCGGCGUGCUUAACACAUGCAAGUCGAACGGAAAGGCCCUGCUUUUGUGGGGUGCUCGGGUGGCGAACGGGUGAGUAACGCGUGAGUAACCUGCCCUUGACUUUGGGAUAACUUCAGGAAACUGGGGCUAAUACCGGAUAGGAGCUCCUGCUGCAUGGUGGGGGUUGGAAAGUUUCGGCGGUUGGGGAUGGACUCGCGGCUUAUCAGCUUGUUGGUGGGGUAGUGGCUUACCAAGGCUUUGACGGGUAGCCGGCCUGAGAGGGUGACCGGCCACAUUGGGACUGAGGUACGGCCCAGACUCCUACGGGAGGCAGCAGUGGGGAAUAUUGCACAAUGGGCGGGAGCCUGAUGCAGCAACGCCGCGUGCGGGAUGACGGCCUUCGGGUUGUAAACCGCUUUCGCCUGUGACGAAGCGUGAGUGACGGUAAUGGGUAAAGAAGCACCGGCUAACUACGUG
RNAcentral lists this ribosomal RNA (468 nucleotides) under uncultured bacterium. Its description in RNAcentral is "partial 16S ribosomal RNA". It matches the Rfam family "Bacterial small subunit ribosomal RNA", at positions 28 to 507 of the family's 1533-position model. The record is from RNAcentral.